CGCCUCUGCUCCCCAGCCAGCUAGCGCGCCGGCCAGUCCGCCUGGGCCGUCUCCCGCUUCCCGCCGCUGCCGCUGCACGAUCGGCCGCGCCGCUACCAACCUUCCAGGUAGGUGUCCUAGCUGCGGAGGGGACCCCUGAAGCCGCAAGACGGUGCCCGCGGCACGGCCCGGGGGCAUUGUGCGCGGCCGGAGGGCCGAGGACCCUAAGGGACGCGCGGCCAGGCAGCCCGGCUCUGGGCCCCUGAGGCAUCAAAGCCCUCCGGGGGUUAGCCUGGCGGGAGAGCCGGGGGCCGCGGUGCCAGUCCCGCCCCGCGACCGAGGUGGGAGGGGGCGUCUGGGUCACGGUCCCCCUCGCUGCCCUCCCCUCCCCCUCGUCGUGGGGAAUUCCGGCCGCUAGCAUCCCCCAGCGCCGCCCCGCGCCCCGGCUCCCCCAGGCUGCUGGGAUACAAGCGAGGGCAGGGAGAGGGACUGAUGUAAUUGUCGGCGGAGAACCGAACCCGCGCGCCCGCUCCAGCUAACGCCUACGCCGCACCUUUCGGGGAAGCUGGGGAGCUGAGAGGAACGGCUGGGGAAGUUGUGCAUUGGGUUUUAUUGUGCGCGUGCACUGCAGACUGCCCUCACGGGGCACCCCUGCCCACCCACCCCUGCAGCCUUCCCUGCAGCCUUCGUCCACACCCCCAGCCAGGGCCGAGCCUGCCUUCCCCGGUUCAGACCGGGACAGGGUUUGCAUUGCAGUCCAGACGUGCUUCCCCUGCAUCGAGCCGGGAGCUGUCCGCAAAUCGUUUGGCGGGGGAUGCUGGGGGGAGGAGGGGAUGGGAAACCUGGGGAGGAAGCCGGAAAGAAGUAAUGACACCAGCAUAUUUUGUUAAAAAGCUUCUGGUGUAUAUAGGAACAUCUGCAUGACACCUUUUAAGCUGUUUUUGAAAGUUAUGACCAGAUACUGAUAUUGUGGCCAUUCUGGUUAUAUACCUGAAGGUAGCUUAAACAUAGAGACCUAAAGCUGGGGAAAGCAUUACAUAAUGGACAUGAAGCAAAUGACACGAAACUAAGUAAACCCACUGGGUUGCCAGAUUAUUUCUCUCUCCUGAUUGCAAAGUCCUAUAGGCUUUUCCUCUAUAAGAAUUUCCAUUUUUAAAUCGCUGUACUAGUUUUAGCAAACUGUGAUUUUUUUUCUCCAAAUAACACAAUUUUUCUUGACCAUCUUUUCUUAAAUGUAAUAAUUGCAUGUUAAUGGAUAGUUCUGUAUCACAGAGCUGAUGAAUAAACGUUGGAAAUCUUUCAGUCUUACCUUUGGAAAUCUUUCUCCAGAGGUAAGAUUUUUAAAUAUUCCAUCUUAAUAUCAUUAACUUUGUUUCCUUCUUGGAUGUAUUUUUCCCCUCUCGUCUCCCCUUUGUUUUUUGGAAGCAUUUCUACAGUUUUAGGUACUGCUAGCUCACAAUGUUGAUAUUCCUAUCCAAUGCUACAGCAUUGCAGAUACAAAGACUAAUAAUAAAUGAAACAGAAGACCUCACAGUAACUCAGAAUGAGCAGAGUUCCCAAGGUCGAAGGGAAGCUGCAGUGUAACUGGGGUAUAAUCACCUACAGAGAAUAUGCAUAGCCCUCCUUGGAUUAUAAGGAAGGCCAGGAUUGGUGGAAUAUUAUUUCUGUUAUUCUCUUACUCUGGAUUUCCUGUUUCCCCCUACAAAUAUUUUUUUCCACAAAGUAGAAACAAAAUAUUUUUAAAUUAGAGUCUUUGCUUUUAGAAAGCCUAAAAUUCCUGUUGUUGCUCAUAUUUUCAGUUGAUAUUGAUAACUCAGUAUACAUUUAGUGGAUGGAUUCCUUUUGGGAUAUCUCAGUUUCAAAUCAUGAUGGUUUAUCACAUGUCUCUUGGUUGUAGUAUAAUGUGAUUCGGUUGGACUUUUAUGGGGUUGCUUCACAUAAGUUUUCUUGUCCUUAGAUUGCUUUAACCUUUUGUUAGUUAAUUUUAUUCCAAAAAGAAAGGUAAAGUCCUUUCAAGAUUAAAUAUUUGUUGUUGGAAAUCUGUAGCACCACUGCAGAAAUAGAUUAGGUUAAUAUGUAAGUAGAUAAAAGUUUUUAUGUGACUUUAUUCAUGAAACUAUUGGCCUAAGGAGAAGUUUUAAAUUUUAGUAAAAUGCCUUGGUUAAGUAACAUUCAGUAAUCAUUCAGUAAAUACUUACUUAUUGAACACUGAUCUGUUCAAAGCAUUGGUGUGGGCAUGUGGGAGAUACAAAUAAGAAUGAAGAGUUUGUGGUCUUGUUGGGAGGAUAAGGUCUGUUUGGAGGGAUUUUAUUUUUUAACUGCACUGUUAAGUAAUAAUUAUAAUACUUCUUUUAGUUUGUUUUUAAUUUUGAAAGAGUCUCAUUAUCUAUUGAUGUAUGAGACUUUUUUCCCCCCACACUCAACAUUAUGUCACUUAGAUUCAUCCAUGUUCUGUGUCACUGUGGUUCAUUGACUUACACUGCUGUGCCAUAGUCUGUGUGUCUAUUACACAGUAUAGAAUUGUUGAUUGUGUAGGAUGUGUGGAUAUUCAACUUGUAGAUAUUGCCAAAUUAUUUUCCAAAGUUGUACAAAUUUAUACAAGCCAGGGAAAUAAACACACACGAUCAUCACAUACAAACAAGCGUGUGUGUGUGUAUGUGUAUGUGUGUCUGUGUGUGUGUUGAAUUGCCUUUCUUUGGCAUAGAGCUUUGGAGAACAUCUUGCUGGUAUUUCUAAAUGCAGUUGAAUGACAAUGUGGCAACAUCUUUAAUAUAAGAAAAAAAGGAAGAAAAGGGAAAAAAAGGAAAAAUAAGGUAGACCUCCCAAGGAUAAAAGCUUGCUGGUUACUUACCAGUAAAG
This 2838-nucleotide long non-coding RNA is filed under the name Sus scrofa (pig). RNAcentral describes it as "lncRNA (ENSSSCG00045010391.1)". The record is from RNAcentral. Lineage: Eukaryota; Metazoa; Chordata; Mammalia; Artiodactyla; Suidae.